Molecule: long non-coding RNA, 389 nt
Filed under: Olea europaea subsp. europaea
Lineage: Eukaryota; Viridiplantae; Streptophyta; Magnoliopsida; Lamiales; Oleaceae
Source: RNAcentral
GAUCGUAAGGAUAGGGAUAGGAAUAGGGAUCAGAUUCGUGAGCGAGAACGAGAUAAUUUUGAAAUUCUUACUCAAUGGAAUGCCCUUAAACAAGGAAAUCAAUUAGUGACUGAGUAUAUCGCGCAAUUUGAGGAAUUUCGAACCAAAUGUCAUUUAAUUGAGGAUGAGAGCACGACUUUGAGUAGGUUUAGCCAAGGUCUGAGAAAUGAUCUUAAGCGCGAGCUGUUCCUUCGAGGUGUCACUACUCUUGAUCACGCUUACUCUUUAGCUCGAGAUUAUGAGUUGAUUAUUAGUACUCCAUAUGAAAAGCGUGGUCAUCGUCGCUCACCCAUCUCAUUAGCGUCGCCUCAUCAUAAGUCUAUCAUAAAACCGUCUCCGUCUAAUGUUCC